GGCCUAUUAGCUUAGUUGGUUAGAGCGUUAUGCUAAUAACGUGAAGGUUGCAAGUUCAAGAUCUGUAUGGGUCA
Non-coding RNA from Cucurbita moschata (crookneck pumpkin), 74 nucleotides. The record is from the annotation of a RefSeq genome assembly. Lineage: Eukaryota; Viridiplantae; Streptophyta; Magnoliopsida; Cucurbitales; Cucurbitaceae.